RNAcentral lists this ribosomal RNA (330 nucleotides) under Gymnotus sp. Its description in RNAcentral is "partial 12S ribosomal RNA". It matches the Rfam family "Bacterial small subunit ribosomal RNA", at positions 869 to 1363 of the family's 1533-position model. The record is from RNAcentral. Lineage: Eukaryota; Metazoa; Chordata; Actinopteri; Gymnotiformes; Gymnotidae.
UCGCCAGAGUACUACAAGCGAAAGCUUAAAACUCAAAGGACUUGGCGGUGUUUCAGACCCACCUAGAGGAGCCUGUUCUAAAACCGAUAAUACUCGUUUAACCUCACCACUUCUUGUUUCCCCAGCCUAUAUACCGCCGUCGUCAGCUUACCCUGUGAAGGUCAAAAAGUAAGCAAAAUGGACAUAACCCAAAACGUCAGGCCGAGGUGUAGCGCAUGAAGUGGGAAGAAAUGGGCUACAUUUUCUAAUAAUAGAAUACUACGCACGACGCACUGAAACGUGCAUCUUAAAGGUGGAUUUAGUAGUAAAAAGCAAAUAGAGUGUCCUUUU